Molecule: microRNA precursor, 103 nt
Filed under: Marmota monax (woodchuck)
Lineage: Eukaryota; Metazoa; Chordata; Mammalia; Rodentia; Sciuridae
Source: RNAcentral
AGUGGGAUAACUGGGUCAAAUGGUGAUUCCAUCCCUAGUUUUAUGAGGAACCUCCACACUGCUUUCUAGAGUGGUUGCACCAAUUUGCAGUCCUACCAGCAGU